UUUAGAUUCAAUCACCCAGCAGAAGCUGCUGUCUUAAGACAAAGAAGAUCAAUUAAUGAAACCCCACCCAUUCUGAGUUGUGGAGCUUUGGACUGGCUCAGCUUGGAUGGAAGUUGCACUAAUUCUCCUCACUAUGUCCUUUCUUCUCUUGACAAUCAGAAAUGUAGAAACUGUAAAGAAAACAAAUGUUCUCCUGAACUAAGGUAAGAAUAUUAAUGUGUCUAAAUCAUGCUGAAUUUUUUGGCCCUCUAGCUUUGUCACUUUUCUGUGCUACACUGAUUUCCUC
RNAcentral lists this long non-coding RNA (286 nucleotides) under Bubo bubo (Eurasian eagle-owl). RNAcentral's name for it is "lncRNA (ENSBOBG00000004203.1)". Lineage: Eukaryota; Metazoa; Chordata; Aves; Strigiformes; Strigidae. The record is from RNAcentral.